UACGUAGGGGGCAAGCGUUGUCCGGAAUUAUUGGGCGUAAAGAGCGUGUAGGCGGUCCGGUAAGUCAGCUGUGAAAGUCAAGGGCUCAACCCUUGAAUGCCGGUUGAUACUGUCGGGCUAGAGUCCGGAAGAGGCGAGUGGAAUUCCCGGUGUAGCGGUGAAAUGCGUAGAUAUCGUAAGGAAGACCAGUGGCGAAGGCGGGUCUCUGGACAGUUCCUGACGCUGAGGCACGAAGGUCAGGGGAGCAAACGGG
RNAcentral lists this ribosomal RNA (253 nucleotides) under uncultured bacterium. RNAcentral's name for it is "partial 16S ribosomal RNA". It matches the Rfam family "Bacterial small subunit ribosomal RNA", at positions 524 to 776 of the family's 1533-position model. The record is from RNAcentral.